AAGUCGUAACAAGGUUUCCGUAGGUGAACCUGCGGAAGGAUCAUUACAACGUAUCCACGUACCAAACUCUCGAACUGUUCCCAACGGAGCAAAGCACACACUUGUGUGAGAAGUUAAUGGCCGACUGUCUUUCGCUGAUGGAGUCCACAGACUUUUGUCUGAGGACUGAAAGGCUAUCGGUUGCUGGAGCUUCGGCUCUGGGACUUUGUUUGCUUCGUUGCGGUUUCUACCGUCAGCACUUGUUUUACCAUUAUUAACCCUUUGAAUUAUUGAACUGAACUUGAAAGCCUCGCAACCGUCCUUGUUGGCUUCGGUCACGGACAGUGUAGCUUGGUUUUUCUCAUUUACGAAACAAAGAACAACUCUUAGCAACGGAUAUCUUGGUUCUC
Molecule: unclassified non-coding RNA, 389 nt
Filed under: fungal sp.
Lineage: Eukaryota; Fungi
Also listed under: 1 other name
Description: partial internal transcribed spacer region
Rfam family: Eukaryotic small subunit ribosomal RNA (bases 1-46)
Source: RNAcentral